Protopterus annectens (West African lungfish) is the source of this 624-nucleotide long non-coding RNA. RefSeq lists it as uncharacterized. The record is from RefSeq and is a predicted model, not a curated record. NCBI's taxonomy places the organism in Eukaryota, Metazoa, Chordata, Ceratodontiformes, Protopteridae. The transcript is spliced from 3 exons.
UCCCGGGGUUAGUCUAAAACUGAGUAUGAAACUCCUUUGUGGUGUUUUUUGUAGAACAUUUCUUUUAGAAUGAGUUAAGAUAUAAUGGUUUAAUGCAUCUAAAAAAUAAAUACUACUUCUGAAGAGAAUUCCUAAUCACUUUUCUUUGUCUACUAUAAUAGGAUAUAAUGUAUUACGUAACAUUUUCAAGUAUUUUUUUUAAAUUGGUUCAUCUUUUAGAGGUUCUUUCUGGGCAUGAAUUUUCUUAAUAUUUCACUGAACAAUGUUUGCUGUGAAUUCUGUGUUACGUCCUUAUUAUGCUGUAACAUACAGGAAGUGAAGCACAUGAAUCAUAAAUGCAAGCUUGCUAAAGUCUCAGUUCAUUUUCUUCAACUAGCAAGCAAACAACUUCAUCUGUGUUUACGAACCAGGGUUUUAAACGUGAAGAAACUGAGUUAUAUUAUCCAGAUUGGCUAAGAGGAAACAAGUUUGACUCAGAAGACCAGUUUUAAAUUGCACUUAAGAUUGACAGCAUAAAGAUGGCCGAAUCAUUGGAAAUGUCAUCCCAGAUAAUGUAUGCAGUAUCUUUCGAUGACGGAAUCCUGUACUUUAAAGCAAAACCUCAAGGAGAAGACAACAUUGAUG